UACGUAGGUGGCGAGCGUUGUCCGGAUUUAUUGGGCGUAAAGCGCGCGCAGGCGGUGCGGUAAGUCCGUCGCGAAAUCUCCCGGCUCAACUGGGAGGGUGCGGUGGAGACUGCCGGACUGGAGGCACUCAGAGGCCGGUGGAAUUCCCGGUGUAGUGGUGAAAUGCGUAGAGAUCGGGAGGAACACCAGUGGCGAAGGCGGCCGGCUGGGGGUGACCUGACGCUGAGGCGCGAAAGCGUGGGGAGCGAACCGG
RNAcentral lists this ribosomal RNA (253 nucleotides) under uncultured bacterium. Its description in RNAcentral is "partial 16S ribosomal RNA". It matches the Rfam family "Bacterial small subunit ribosomal RNA", at positions 524 to 776 of the family's 1533-position model. The record is from RNAcentral.